GACGAACGCUGGCGGCGUGCUUAACACAUGCAAGUCGAACGGUGAAGCGCCUUUCUUUUUGGUGGGUGUGGAUGAGUGGCGAACGGGUGAGUAACACGUGAGUAACCUGCCCCCUUCUUCUGGAUAACCGCAUGAAAGUGUGGCUAAUACGGGAUAUUCUGGGUCUGUCGCAUGAUGGGUCUGGGAAAGAUAUUGUUUCGGUGGGGGAUGGGCUCGCGGCCUUUAAGCUUGUUGGUGGGGUGAGGGCCUACCAAGGCGGUGACGGGUAGCCGGCCUGAGAGGGUGGACGGUCACACUGGGACUGAGACACGGCCCAGCCUCCUACGGGAGGCAGCAGUGGGGAAUAUUGCACAAUGGGCGCGAGCCUGAUGCAGCGACGCCGCGUGAGGGAUGGAGGCCUUCGGGUUGUGAACCUCUUUCGCCAGUGAAGCAGGCCUGCCUCGUUUGUGGGUGGGUUGACGGUAGCUGGAUAAGAAGCGCCGGCUAACUACGUG
RNAcentral lists this ribosomal RNA (494 nucleotides) under uncultured bacterium. Its description in RNAcentral is "partial 16S ribosomal RNA". It matches the Rfam family "Bacterial small subunit ribosomal RNA", at positions 28 to 507 of the family's 1533-position model. The record is from RNAcentral.